AAAUUGAAGAGUUUGAUCAUGGCUCAGAUUGAACGCUGGCGGCAGGCCUAACACAUGCAAGUCGAGCGGAAACGAGUUAUCUGAACCUUCGGGGAACGAUAGCGGCGUCGAGCGGCGGACGGGUGAGUAAUGCCUAGGAAAUUGCCCUGAUGUGGGGGAUAACCAUUGGAAACGAUGGCUAAUACCGCAUGAUGCCUACGGGCCAAAGAGGGGGACCUUCGGGCCUCUCGCGUCAGGAUAUGCCUAGGUGGGAUUAGCUAGUUGGUGAGGUAAGGGCUCACCAAGGCGACGAUCCCUAGCUGGUCUGAGAGGAUGAUCAGCCACACUGGAACUGAGACACGGUCCAGACUCCUACGGGAGGCAGCAGUGGGGAAUAUUGCACAAUGGGCGCAAGCCUGAUGCAGCCAUGCCGCGUGUGUGAAGAAGGCCUUCGGGUUGUAAAGCACUUUCAGUCGUGAGGAAGGUAGUGUAGUUAAUAGCUGCAUUAUUUGACGUUAGCGACAGAAGAAGCACCGGCUAACUCCGUGCCAGCAGCCGCGGUAAUACGGAGGGUGCGAGCGUUAAUCGGAAUUACUGGGCGUAAAGCGCAUGCAGGUGGUUUGUUAAGUCAGAUGUGAAAGCCCGGGGCUCAACCUCGGAAUUGCAUUUGAAACUGGCAGACUAGAGUACUGUAGAGGGGGGUAGAAUUUCAGGUGUAGCGGUGAAAUGCGUAGAGAUCUGAAGGAAUACCGGUGGCGAAGGCGGCCCCCUGGACAGAUACUGACACUCAGAUGCGAAAGCGUGGGGAGCAAACAGGAUUAGAUACCCUGGUAGUCCACGCCGUAAACGAUGUCUACUUGGAGGUUGUGGCCUUGAGCCGUGGCUUUCGGAGCUAACGCGUUAAGUAGACCGCCUGGGGAGUACGGUCGCAAGAUUAAAACUCAAAUGAAUUGACGGGGGCCCGCACAAGCGGUGGAGCAUGUGGUUUAAUUCGAUGCAACGCGAAGAACCUUACCUACUCUUGACAUCCAGAGAACUUUCCAGAGAUGGAUUGGUGCCUUCGGGAACUCUGAGACAGGUGCUGCAUGGCUGUCGUCAGCUCGUGUUGUGAAAUGUUGGGUUAAGUCCCGCAACGAGCGCAACCCUUAUCCUUGUUUGCCAGCGAGUAAUGUCGGGAACUCCAGGGAGACUGCCGGUGAUAAACCGGAGGAAGGUGGGGACGACGUCAAGUCAUCAUGGCCCUUACGAGUAGGGCUACACACGUGCUACAAUGGCGCAUACAGAGGGCAGCCAACUUGCGAAAGUGAGCGAAUCCCAAAAAGUGCGUCGUAGUCCGGAUUGGAGUCUGCAACUCGACUCCAUGAAGUCGGAAUCGCUAGUAAUCGUGGAUCAGAAUGCCACGGUGAAUACGUUUCCCGGGCCUUGUACACACCGCCCGUCACACCAUGGGAGUGGGCUGCAAAAGAAGUAGGUAGUUUAACCUUCGGGGGGACGCUUACCACUUUGUGGUUCAUGACUGGGGUGAAGUCGUAACAAGGUAGCGCUAGGGGAACCUGGCGCUGGAUCACCUCCUUA
This 1554-nucleotide ribosomal RNA is filed under the name Vibrio parahaemolyticus. Its description in RNAcentral is "bacterial SSU rRNA". It matches the Rfam family "Bacterial small subunit ribosomal RNA". The record is from RNAcentral. Lineage: Bacteria; Pseudomonadati; Pseudomonadota; Gammaproteobacteria; Vibrionales; Vibrionaceae.